RNAcentral lists this ribosomal RNA (428 nucleotides) under uncultured bacterium. RNAcentral's name for it is "partial 16S ribosomal RNA". It matches the Rfam family "Bacterial small subunit ribosomal RNA", at positions 354 to 796 of the family's 1533-position model. The record is from RNAcentral.
GUGGGGAAUAUUGGGCAAUGGGCGAAAGCCUGACCCAGCAACGCCGCGUGAAGGAAGAAGGCUUUCGGGUUGUAAACUUCUUUUGUCAGGGACGAAAAAAAUGACGGUACCUGACGAAUAAGCCACGGCUAACUACGUGCCAGCAGCCGCGGUAAUACGUAGGUGGCAAGCGUUAUCCGGAUUUACUGGGUGUAAAGGGCGUGUAGGUGGGAAAGCAAGUCAGAUGUGAAAACUAUGGGCUCAACCCAUAGCCUGCAUUUGAAACUGUUUUUCUUGAGUACUGGAGAGGCAGAUGGAAUUCCUAGUGUAGCGGUGAAAUGCGUAGAUAUUAGGAGGAACACCAGUGGCGAAGGCGAUCUGCUGGACAGCAACUGACGCUGAGGCGCGAAAGCGUGGGGAGCAAACAGGAUUAGAAACCCUGGUAGUCC